AGUGAUUAUUGAUUGAUUGAUGCCACGAACUAUGACAGUGGUUUAUUAUUAUUUACAGUCAUUAAUUAUUCGAUAUAAUUUUUAACGAUUUCCGUUUUCAAAUUCCAACUAAUAGCACAAAGUCUGCAAAACGGAGCACGUCCGGGUGUAUAACUAAUAACGAAAACGAUUUUGCAUUUCUUCACAACAGCCCCCUUUGGAAAUUCCCGGGUACACGUCUAGUCUCCGUGAAUUAUACAAUAUACCUAC
Cinara cedri is the source of this 249-nucleotide non-coding RNA. The record is from the annotation of a GenBank genome assembly. NCBI's taxonomy places the organism in Eukaryota, Metazoa, Arthropoda, Insecta, Hemiptera, Aphididae.